This 54-nucleotide transfer RNA is filed under the name Strongyloides vituli. Its description in RNAcentral is "tRNA-Cys". Lineage: Eukaryota; Metazoa; Nematoda; Chromadorea; Rhabditida; Strongyloididae. The record is from RNAcentral.
AGAUUCUUAGUAUAUUUAGUAUGUUCGAUUGCAGAUCGAAGGGAUAAGAGUCUU